RNAcentral lists this non-coding RNA (24 nucleotides) under Rattus norvegicus (Norway rat). The record is from RNAcentral. Lineage: Eukaryota; Metazoa; Chordata; Mammalia; Rodentia; Muridae.
CAAGGUUUAGAAGCUGAUGGAAAU